AUUAGCUCAGCUGGCUAGAGCGCCUGCCUUGCAC
This 34-nucleotide transfer RNA is filed under the name Flavobacterium columnare. Its description in RNAcentral is "partial tRNA-Ala". Lineage: Bacteria; Pseudomonadati; Bacteroidota; Flavobacteriia; Flavobacteriales; Flavobacteriaceae. The record is from RNAcentral.